RNAcentral lists this ribosomal RNA (232 nucleotides) under uncultured bacterium. RNAcentral's name for it is "partial 16S ribosomal RNA". It matches the Rfam family "Bacterial small subunit ribosomal RNA", at positions 104 to 334 of the family's 1533-position model. The record is from RNAcentral.
CGGGGUGAGUAACGCGUGGGUAACCUACCCUGUACACACGGAUAACAUACCGAAAGGUAUGCUAAUACAGGAUAAUAUAUUUGAGAGGCAUCUCUUGAAUAUCAAAGGUGAGCCAGUACAGGAUGGACCCGCGUCUGAUUAGCUAGUUGGUAAGGUAAUGGCUUACCAAGGCGACGAUCAGUAGCCGACCUGAGAGGGUGAUCGGCCACAUUGGAACUGAGACACGGUCCAA